UUCACGAUCGCGUUAGUAGCUAGAAAAUAUGGUUGUUCAAUAGAGCCAUUGGAUUUGUCUCAACGAUGUUCCUAUCUGCCACGACAUUGCAGGAUAUCUAGUUUUACUCAUUUUCUCUGGCUUUGUAAAUAUUGCAGUCUGACGGAAGCCCUACUUCCUUGUCCAAUUGUGUUCCCACCCUCAAAGGAAUACACUGCUGAGGAUUUGGGACAGCAAGAACAAGAAUUGCGAGACCUGCAAGCGGCGACAGCUGCAGCCGCUACCGCUGCUCCCGAUCCUGUGGAGACACAGACGGUCAGACUCCGACUGGUGGUGCCUAUGCGGGUGCUGUCCAGCCAUGCCAACAGAAGAGGAAUGUCUGUGCUGCAACAAAUUACAUCGCGGACAGUUCUAACUGGAGAGGCUCAAUGCAGACCCCAUGGAUCAUGUGUAUGUGACAGACCAUUGGUGUUACAUAUAGAUACAGGGGUGCUGGAGAUGUUCUUCAGAACCUCCCAUAUCAACUGGCAGCGGCAGCCUAGACAAGCUGGACCAGGAGGGCAUAUGAUUAACAAACAAUAACGGUUGGUGGCCUACAGAUUAUUUUUGGAGUGAGUUCUACGUGGCGAGAAGCUACGCAGAGGACACCGAAUCCCCUUGCCUGGGGGUGUUGUUGAGGCCAUAGCAAUUUAUCCCUCACACGAUAGACAUCCUCCCGGUUGUGACCCUUGCCUGUCUGGACUCUGAACCCGCCUGCCUGACCAAUCUGCCUGCCCUGACCUCGAGCCAGCCUGCCACUCUGUACCUUCUGGACUCUGACCUGGUUUUGAUCUUUUGCCUGUCCAUGACCAUUCUCUUGCCUACCC
This 845-nucleotide long non-coding RNA is filed under the name Salmo salar (Atlantic salmon). RNAcentral's name for it is "lncRNA (ENSSSAG00000084638.1)". Lineage: Eukaryota; Metazoa; Chordata; Actinopteri; Salmoniformes; Salmonidae. The record is from RNAcentral.